CAACUUGAGAGUUUGAUCCUGGCUCAGAACGAACGCUGGCGGCAGGUCUAACACAUGCAAGUCGAGCGCGCCUUCGGGUGAGCGGCGGACGGGUUAGUAACGCGUGGGAACGUGCCCUUCACUACGGAAUAGCCCAUGGAAACGUGGAGUAAUACCGUAUACGCCCUCAGGGGGAAAGAUUUAUCGGUGAGGGAUCGGCCCGCGUUAGAUUAGAUAGUUGGUGGGGUAACUGCCCACCAAGUCGACGAUCUAUAGCUGGUUUGAGAGGAUGAUCAGCAACACUGGGACUGAGACACGGCCCAGACUCCUACGGGAGGCAGCAGUGGGGAAUC
This 332-nucleotide ribosomal RNA is filed under the name Paracoccaceae bacterium. Its description in RNAcentral is "bacterial SSU rRNA". It matches the Rfam family "Bacterial small subunit ribosomal RNA", at positions 1 to 363 of the family's 1533-position model. Lineage: Bacteria; Pseudomonadati; Pseudomonadota; Alphaproteobacteria; Rhodobacterales; Paracoccaceae. The record is from RNAcentral.